This is a long non-coding RNA of Bombus pyrosoma, 619 nucleotides long. RefSeq lists it as uncharacterized. The transcript has 2 exons. Lineage: Eukaryota; Metazoa; Arthropoda; Insecta; Hymenoptera; Apidae. The record is from RefSeq and is a predicted model, not a curated record.
AUCGGCGGUUCCUGCGCCGAUUUGAUGAAGACAGAAAACGACGAGAUACAAAGGAACUGCGAUCAUUGCUUUGUUAUAGUCGAAAUAAAGCUCACGCAGAUGUUCCACGUCGAAUCGUGCCAAAUCAAACCUAACGAUUAUGAAGAUUUAAAAAUUCUGGCAGAAUAUUCGACGAUUUUUAAUUUUUUAAUACAAAGUAAACGUACUUAUCGAACGUUGAAACGACGCACAUGGCAAUAAGAAAGGAAAAGAUGUUUGUAUAAAUCUCGCAAAAUGAUGCUUUUGGUGGGAAAAACGUGCAUAUGCAUGAGAAGAGGGGAAUUAUGCCUUCGGACCGGACAGUACGCAGUUAGCCGAAAACAGCCCUUCAUAAUUAGUGGCGUUUCGAAAACUCCGACAAAAUGCUACGCCGUACCGCAAGCACUUAUAAGAUUUUAAUCCUCAUUUUUGCUUCAGAAGAUUUGUCGUACUUCCAUUGGUCGAGCCACUAAAUCAAAUUAUUAUAAAAUUACACAAUUACACGAAUAGUUAUACAGAAAUUGAUGAACUCGUAAAAUCGUACAAUCAUUGUAAAAUGGCAAAUUGAAUUGAAAAAAAACAAUUUUAUUUUACAAAUCAA